AAGUGAAGGAGAAGUUGUGAUAGAUUUGUAGUUCUUUCGAGAGCUAGGAAUUAAUAUAGAGCAGUGACUUCUUUCUAGUGAACUGAGGCCGCCGGCGCCGGAGAAUGAAAUAGCAUGGAGGCCUCCGAUUCUCAUCGUGCUUGAUACGACCGAAAUCACAGAGAUUGGAGGUCAAAAUCUUCAGUCUAUUAUUUACCAAAACACCCCUUAACGCACUUCCUAAUUCCUAUUUUAAUUUAUUUUUUUUU
Molecule: unclassified non-coding RNA, 248 nt
Filed under: Hevea brasiliensis (rubber tree)
Lineage: Eukaryota; Viridiplantae; Streptophyta; Magnoliopsida; Malpighiales; Euphorbiaceae
Source: RNAcentral